AAUAAUUUUAUGCCAUAUCAUUACUUUUAUCCUGAAUUUCAGGAUUUUAUCCUGAAAAAAAUCAAAUCCAAAUUAAAAUCCUGAAAUUCAGGAUAAGAAUAUUGAUGUGGCAUAAAACUAUU
Molecule: microRNA precursor, 122 nt
Organism: Gossypium arboreum
Lineage: Eukaryota; Viridiplantae; Streptophyta; Magnoliopsida; Malvales; Malvaceae
Rfam family: MIR7504 microRNA precursor family
Source: Rfam